CCCCUUACUAUUAUCAUCGAACUAUUCUCUCUCGUUCUCAUCUUGUUCUCUUCUAUCAUGUCUGAAAAUUCGAAUGUUUUGUUGAUUUCAGAGAUUUAAAAUCCCAAGUGGCUAACCAAUUUAUUUCUCGCCUUAGGGUUUUGAGGUUUACAUAUGAAAGUUUUUUUUAUGUCUGUUCUCUAGUCUCCAAAAACUCUUAAGAGCAGCAGCACAAAGAAGAAGAAACGCCCUAAACUUCUCAUUUCCUUGUAAAUAUAAUGAAGCGUAUCGCUUGAUUUCAACCCUAUGUUUGAUUUUUGUUUCUUGGUUUGGUUGAAUCUGAUCUUAUAUGAAAUCCAUAAAUUUCUAGGGUUUUGAUUUGAGAAUAAGGUACGUCUGGGAUGCAUGUAUAUCUUUCUAGGGUUUGAUUGUAUCUGAUUGUAUAUUUGGAUUAAUUGGGUAAUAAUCUAUGACUCAAUCUUCUUCAUCAUCUUUAAUUUAAGAAAUUUAAAUUUUAACAAUAGGGUUAGGGUAAAUUUUCAAGCUCUUGAUUUUCUUAUUAAAAGUUUCAAUUGAAUUAUUGUUUUUAUUGAUUAGGUUUGCGGUUCACUUGAACUGGUACCUAUUGUGAUUCCUGAUGAUGAUGGUGUAGUGGUGGUGUUGAUGAAGUAGAAGAUGACUCAGUUUGCUAAUAAGAUUGCUCAUCACGUUGCUUGUCUGUUUUGUGAGCUGGGUUAUUCUUAGGUGCCAUUACUGGAGCUUUAAUAAGAAAGAAACUGAGAAUACUUUAAUCUCUACCAAGUUGUUUGCUGCCAAUUAGAAGGGAUAUUUGAUAUGGACCACUGGCACCAUGGAUAUGUGUUGUGAUUGCUAAGGACUUGGAUGGAUUUACCCUUGUGAUAUUUGGAGUAUUGGUUGUAUGAAUCUUAAUUGAGCUGUGCUCGGGAGAGACAUUGUGUAAGACGCAUGAGAAGUUAGAGCACCUGGCCAUAAUAGAGAGGAUAUUGGGGUCAAUACCAAGUCACAUGUUGAAGAAAGUUGGAUAUCAUGCAGAGAAAUACAUAAGAAAGGGAAGAUUGAAUUGGCCAGAGGGUGCGACAUCCAGGGAAAGCAUUAGAGUUGUUUCAAAGUUACCAUGUUUGCCGGUAUGUGUGCAGAAUUGUUGUGUUCAGGGAAGAUUCUUUUGAAAGGAGACAAGAUAACAUUGAUGCAGAAUACGGGUAAAUGAUGAUUUUGGCCUAGUGAUGAUAUAUAACCUGAGUAGCAGAGUUGAAUCUUGCAUAUUAUACUGUCUGACAAUGCUAGUGCAACAAUCGAAUUUCCUGCAUUUGGAUAAUUAUCUUUGUAUUCUGGAUUAUCAUUUCAUUCAUGCAAUGGGUCGAGCUGAAGAUGACAGAAAAAGGGAAUAGGCUAAUGUCUGGGAAUGAAUCGGCAUAAGAUGAAUAUUACCUCGCAGCUUUCACAGUAUGUCUCAACUAGUGCAGUGGGAGUUUGAAAUUUUUGGCGAUGUGAUGAGUGUGGAUGCAGAUUUGACUUGUGCAUUCCCCAGAUCCUUCAACUUCUGAUAAGAGAAUGGAAAUUGGAUUCGGUAACAAGAAGUCAAUACCUGGAACACCACCGAAGAAGAUCAGUUGUGGAAGAGAAGGAUGAGCGUGGAGCUGAAGUCUUUGGUGGACCAAGUUCAGAGCUGAAGUCGGCAUGUAAUUCUGCACUAAUGAAACUCGUAGAUGGACAGACUAAAAUUGUAAGAGAAGGGGAUAAUGGUGUUGCUUACUCUUGGAACUCUAGAGAUCAGAUAUGGGACAAAGUAUAUAUAUGUUUUUUGUAUAUAUAUAUGCCUUGUUUUCUAAUUAAUCUUCAACCUUCUUUUCACACAGUAUUUGAUGUUGACAUUGGAGAUGGUGAGCCCAUUCAUAAGUUGCCUUACAAUAGAUUAGGCAAUCUUUGUUAUUUUGGAAGAUUCUUUUGAAAGGAGACAACAUAACAUUGAUGCAGAAUGCGUAAGCAAACUGAAUCUCUCCCUCCACCCUCACUCAGUGUAGAUGCAGAAUUGACUUGUGUAUUCCCCAAAUCCUUCGACUUCUGAUAAGAGAAUGAAAAUUGGGUUCAGUAACAAGAAGUCAAUACCUGGAACACCACCAAAGAAGGUGCUCCUUGAUAUAUGGCUUCGUAUCUGCAAACGCCAGCGUAGAGAACAAGAGUUGGUGCUCCUUGGGUAACUUGAAGAAACUCCAAGAUCUUAAAACCCAGAGAAGAAGAAGAAGAAAAAUUCUUAGGGAAAGACGUGGGAACCAAUCUGUUUGACGUUCGCAGCAACAGCAGGAAUAAUAUUGGGAAAGUUUUGCAGAAUAAAGGAACUGUUUUCUUCCUCUUUCAUUGAAGCUCAGGGUAUCUUCUUUUAUAAUUUCUUGACAUGGAUUUGUGAUUUAUAAUAACAAGUUCCUGUUGAAUUUAUGUUUUAUCAUAAGAACUAGUAUGUAACCCGUGCUACGCACCGGGACCAGUGGAAAUUUUCGAUUCGGUGUAGCGGGGCUACGCCACGGGCCGGUUUUCCAGACGUAUUACAACUUCUUCAAAAAUUCUUGCUUAGUCUGAUUAUUUUUAAUAAAUAAGAUCAAGCUAUGCUAUACAGUUAAAAUAUUAAAGUAUAUUUACUUUGUAUACC
This is a long non-coding RNA of Papaver somniferum (opium poppy), 2644 nucleotides long. RefSeq lists it as uncharacterized. The transcript is spliced from 12 exons. Lineage: Eukaryota; Viridiplantae; Streptophyta; Magnoliopsida; Ranunculales; Papaveraceae. The record is from RefSeq and is a predicted model, not a curated record.